CCUACGGGAGGCAACAGUGAGGAAUAUUGGUCAAUGGCCGGAAGUCUGAACCAGCCAAGCCGCGUGAAGGACGAAGGUGCCAAGCAUUGUAAACUUCUUUUGUCAAGGGACAAAAUCAGGCUCGAGAGCCUGACCGAGGGUACUUUAAGAAAAAGCAUCGGCUAACUCCGUGCCAGUAGCCGCGGUAAUACGGAGGAUGCGAGCGUUAUCCGGAUUUAUUGGGUUUAAAGGGUGCGUAGGCGGACUGUUAAGUCAGCGGUAAAAGCCCGGGGCUCAACCCCGGCGAGCCGUUGAAACUGGCUGUCUUGAGAGGGCGAGAGGUAUGCGGAAUGCGCAGUGUAGCGGUGAAAUGCUUAGAUAUUGCGCAGAACUCCGAUUGCGAAGGCAGCAUACCGGCGGCGAUCUGACGCUGAGGCACGAAAGCGUGGGUAUCGAACAGGAUUAGAUACCCUAGUAGUC
This 459-nucleotide ribosomal RNA is filed under the name uncultured bacterium. RNAcentral's name for it is "partial 16S ribosomal RNA". It matches the Rfam family "Bacterial small subunit ribosomal RNA", at positions 338 to 795 of the family's 1533-position model. The record is from RNAcentral.